This 460-nucleotide ribosomal RNA is filed under the name uncultured bacterium. RNAcentral describes it as "partial 16S ribosomal RNA". It matches the Rfam family "Bacterial small subunit ribosomal RNA", at positions 338 to 795 of the family's 1533-position model. The record is from RNAcentral.
CCUACGGGCGGCAGCAGUGAGGAAUAUUGGUCAAUGGACGAGAGUCUGAACCAGCCAAGUAGCGUGAAGGAUGACUGCCCUAUGGGUUGUAAACUUCUUUUAUAAAGGGAUAAAACGAGGCACGUGUGCCCUUUUGCAUGUACUUUAUGAAUAAGGAUCGGCUAACUCCGUGCCAGCAGCCGCGGUAAUACGGAGGAUCCGAGCGUUAUCCGGCUUUAUUGGGUUUAAAGGUAGCGUAGAUGGGUUGUUAAGUCAGUUGUGAAAGUUUGCGGCUCAACCGGAAAAUUGCAAUUGAUACUGGCAGUCUUGAGUACAGUUGAGGUAGGCGGAAUUCGUGGUGUAGCGGUGAAAUGCUUAGAUAUCACGAAGAACCCCGAUUGCGAAGGCAGCUUACUAAACUGUGACUGACAUUGAUGCUCGAAAGUGUGGGUAUCAAACAGGAGUAGAUACCCGAGUAGUC